UUAAUCGAUUAACCUGCUUCCAAUAGCCAAAAAAAUCAUUUUGUGUGAUGUUAAUCGGUUAACAUAUAUUGGUUAACUGAUUAACCUAGGACAGUGAGCCAAAGUGCUGCAUUUUUCAACAGUGAUGCAGUCUCCUCUGCACUCCAAACCAGUGUCAAUGCUUGCAUCAAUACACAUUGCUACCUCUACAUAUUUAUGCAGCAACUAAUCGUAUCAUUCAUGCAUUGGAC
RNAcentral lists this long non-coding RNA (230 nucleotides) under Lathyrus oleraceus (garden pea). Its description in RNAcentral is "Pisum sativum (pea) long non-coding RNA (PSAT_LNC018962)". The record is from RNAcentral. Lineage: Eukaryota; Viridiplantae; Streptophyta; Magnoliopsida; Fabales; Fabaceae.